GGUUAAUUGAAAAUAUUUACACUCAACAACCAAAUGGUUUAAUCAAGACAACAACACACGCUAUAGCUGCCGGAAGUAAAGACUAAGAGUUUGUUACCAAUGCAGGAAAAACCAUUUUGGACUGUGAAGCCACCUCAUGGCUAUAUAAACACCAGCUUCUUCUGCUCUUUGUUGAUCUCUUUGGACCAACUGCCAAUGAACCAAAUGCAGCUUUCUUCAGCCAGUAGCCAUCCAUCUUCAUCAUUGCAGCAACAAGAUGCAGACCACAGCCAUAUCGUCUGACCCAGCAGAACUGAAGUCAUUUGAAUGUUUGUUCCAGACUGCAGUAUUAACAUCAUUUCCUUUGGCAAUCAUUUAUUAUUAUAACGAGUGGAAUAAAUCGUCACUAUUUCAACUUA
This is a long non-coding RNA of Octopus bimaculoides (California two-spot octopus), 398 nucleotides long. NCBI's taxonomy places the organism in Eukaryota, Metazoa, Mollusca, Cephalopoda, Octopoda, Octopodidae. The record is from RefSeq and is a predicted model, not a curated record.